UCCCUGGUGGCUCAGAUGGUAAAGCAUCUGCCUACAAAGCAGGAGACUCACAUUCAAUCCCUGGUCAGGAAG
RNAcentral lists this transfer RNA (72 nucleotides) under Bos taurus (domestic cattle). It matches the Rfam family "tRNA". From Rfam's summary of the family: Transfer RNA (tRNA) molecules are approximately 80 nucleotides in length. Their secondary structure includes four short double-helical elements and three loops (D, anti-codon, and T loops). The record is from Rfam by way of RNAcentral. Lineage: Eukaryota; Metazoa; Chordata; Mammalia; Artiodactyla; Bovidae. RNAcentral also lists the same sequence under 3 other names.